GAUGAACGCUAGCGGCGUGCCUAAUACAUGCAAGUCGAGCGAACAUACGAGGAGCUUUCUCCUCUGACGUUAGCGGCGGACGGGUGAGUCGCACGUGGAUAACCUACCUAUAAGACUUGGAUAACUUCGGGAAACCGUAGCCAAUACCAAAUAAUAUAUUCAACCUCAUGUUUCAAUAGAGAAAGACUGUUUUACUGUUGCUUAUGCGUGACUCCGGCCCGCAGUAGCGAUAUGGUAAGGUAACGGCUCACCAGGGCAACGAUCCGUAGCCGACCUGAGCGGGUGAUAGGCCACACUGGAACUGAGACACGGUCCAGACUCAUACGGGAGGCAGCAGUAGGGAAUGUUCCGAAAUGGGAGAAAGCCUGACGGAGCAACGCCGCGUGAGUGAUGAAGGUCUUCGGCUAGUAAAACUAUGUUAUUAGGGAAGAACAAAUGAGUAAGUAACUAUGAACGUCUUGACGGUACCUAAUCAGAAAGGAACGGCUAACUACGUG
This 497-nucleotide ribosomal RNA is filed under the name uncultured bacterium. Its description in RNAcentral is "partial 16S ribosomal RNA". It matches the Rfam family "Bacterial small subunit ribosomal RNA", at positions 28 to 507 of the family's 1533-position model. The record is from RNAcentral.